CUCUCUCCCUCUCUCUCUCUCUCUCUCUCUCUCUCUCUCUCUCUCUCUCUCUCUCUCUCUCUCUCUCUCUCUCCUGCCUGCUGCCUCCUGAUUCGGAUAUAAAGUUCUCAGCUACAGAUACAGGGCAGGAAGCCUGAAUGCUUCCCACCAUGAAGAUCACGGACUGAUCCUCCAAAAUUGUACAAGCCCCCAGGACAUAGAAGAACCAAGCAGGAGAUCAGUGGGUGCCAACUUCAGGAGGCCUUCUAAUCUACAUUUUUACUUUCUUAUUCUUGGACUCUUCGACUUAUUGGAUCUUUUUCACCAACCAGAGGGAAGCCUCACUUCCUCGUCCUAUCCAGCUCAAAAUGUCACUGUCCCAGAUCACAGGACUGCUUGGAGGUGGGUUACUAUAUCUCGUCGUUUCUGCUAUUGUCCUUCUGUCCAAGUCUGCAUUCGGGACUGGUAACACCCAUCGGGAAACAGGUCCUAACAAUUACUCAGAUGGAGACCCGAAAACAUAUGGAAACCAUUCAAAGAAAAAUUAAGAAAAAUCCACCAUGUAAUCAAGCAAAUCUAAAGAUUCCAAAGAGCAUCUAUCACCGGAACCCAAGGAAGGCCACCUCCUUCUGUGCUUUCAUAACCCAGGAUCUCUCUUUCCUUAGAAAUGAGGAAAUAACCCAUUGUUUGCACCUUGAAUCUUGUGAUUUGAUUCAAUUUGAUAAAUCAUAGUCAAUUAAAUAAAUAAAAAUUUAAUAUGGCUUUUAACCAAAAG
Molecule: long non-coding RNA, 754 nt
Organism: Alexandromys fortis (reed vole)
Lineage: Eukaryota; Metazoa; Chordata; Mammalia; Rodentia; Cricetidae
Exons: 5
Source: RefSeq, a predicted model, not a curated record